AACGCAUAUUGCACUUUCUGGUAUUCCGGAAAGUAUGCCUGUUUGAGGGUCAGUUAAAAUAAAAAUCGGUGUUGUUGCCGCCUUUUCGUGGUGACGCGUCGGAAUUGAGUCGUCUUACCUUCGGUUAAAGUGACUUAAAAUUUUUGUAUGAUUUUCGAACGUAUUUAAAUUGCUUACGUACGUUUGAGAUAUCUCCGAUGUUUUUAUUAGGUUCGGUCAUCCUCCAUGACUCGCGCCUAUAAUUCUUUCAUUAAAUGACCUCAAAUCAGGUAAGAAUACCCGCUGAACUUAA
Molecule: unclassified non-coding RNA, 292 nt
Filed under: uncultured Glomerales
Lineage: Eukaryota; Fungi; Glomeromycota; Glomeromycetes; Glomerales; Glomeraceae
Description: sequence contains 5.8S rRNA gene, ITS2, 28S rRNA gene
Rfam family: 5.8S ribosomal RNA (bases 1-52)
Source: RNAcentral